This 251-nucleotide ribosomal RNA is filed under the name uncultured prokaryote. RNAcentral describes it as "partial 16S rRNA". It matches the Rfam family "Bacterial small subunit ribosomal RNA", at positions 525 to 775 of the family's 1533-position model. The record is from RNAcentral.
ACGAAGGGGGCUAGUGUUGUUAGGAAUAACUGGGCGUAAAGCGCACGUAGGCGGACUUUCAAGUCAGGGGUGAAAUCCCGGGGCUCAACCUCGGAACUGCCUUUGAUACUGUUGGUCUCGAGUCCGGAAGAGGUGGGUGGAAUUCCUAGUGUAGAGGUGAAAUUCGUAGAUAUUAGGAAGAACACCGGUGGCGAAGGCGGCCCACUGGUCCGGUACUGACGCUGAGGUGCGAAAGCGUGGGGAGCAAACAG